GUAGGUGGCAAGCGUUGUCCGGAAUUAUUGGGGCGUAAAGCGCGCGCAGGCGGUUCUUUAAGUCUGAUGUGAAAGCCCACGGCUCAACCGUGGAGGGUCAUUGGAAACUGGAGAACUUGAGUACAGAAGAGGAAAGCGGAAUUCCACGUGUAGCGGUGAAAUGCGUAGAGAUGUGGAGGAACACCAGUGGCGAAGGCGGCUUUCUGGUCUGUAACUGACGCUGAGGCGCGAAAGCGUGGGGAGCAAACAGGAUUAGAUACCCUGGUAGUCCACGCCGUAAACGAUGAGUGCUAAGUGUUAGGGGGGUUUCCGCCCCUUAGUGCUGCAGCUAACGCAUUAAGCACUCCGCCUGGGGAGUACGGCCGCAAAGGCUG
RNAcentral lists this ribosomal RNA (374 nucleotides) under uncultured organism. Its description in RNAcentral is "partial 16S ribosomal RNA". It matches the Rfam family "Bacterial small subunit ribosomal RNA", at positions 527 to 896 of the family's 1533-position model. The record is from RNAcentral.